UCAGUUUACACCUAGAGCAUUAUGGGAGAUGUAGUCACCCAGGUCAUCACUACCGAGCUCCCUUGCCAAAAAUAAUAUUUUAUUCAAAUAUUACCAAAACAGUAAUGCUAUUAUUGCCCUAUUAAUUUGCAUAAGAACAAUUCAGUCACUGUGAAUUGAUGGAUGAUUUAAAAUCCAGCUAAAGGACAGAAGCUGCACUACAAUACCCAGAAUGCCACAGAAUAUUUAACUUUCAAUGAUCUUUGUCCUAGGUCAUUACUAGAAUACAAACAGGCAACAUGUGCAUUGUAAAUUAAGGGAACUCCUAGCAGCAGUUGGAACAACAAAUACUUCCCUAUGUUAUUGAAUGGAUCGAAUUCAAUAAAAUGCUAUAUGCUGAGUUUAUAUUUUGUUCGUGACAUAUAAUCUUAAAGUCUUGUUUCGUUGAAGUGCACUAUUCAAUUUAGUUUAUGUCCAAGAUAACACUGUUUACUCUUUCUUUAUUCCCCAGAUAACAUUCAAAUUUUAAACUAGUGAGCAAUAACUUAAGAUUUUGCACACCAAUUCAUGAGUUGAACAGCAUUGAUUUUUCUAUCUGAAGUGUAAAUGUCAUGAACCAGACAUAAUGGACAAACACGAGCAGCAGCUAGCUAACAGUCAUGACCUCCUAUUUAAAUGUGACCUCCAUAAUGGAGGUUUUGCAGGUCAGUUUCACUGUAGUUUUCUGAAGAAUGGAUAAACAGCUAAACAAAAGCAACAAUUAAAAAUAUUAGCUGAAAAUAAUGGACAAAUUUUUUUGGUAAAAUUAAAGAAUUGACAGUUGAUAUGUUAGUAACAGCAAUGGAUAAACAGUUUCCAAAAAAUGUUGAAGCAGUUGGCGGUUAGCCAGAUAAAUAGGUAGUUAAAAAAUACAACUAGCUAACAGUAAUAGUAUAUAGUACCAGCUAGUUAAAUCUGUGAGUAAAUAAUUCAAUCACUUAGCUAACAGUAAUGACUAAACAGUUACCUAAAAACAGCUGAAACAGCAGUCAGCAAAGAGUGAUGGAUAAACAUUCAGCUAGAAAUAGUCAUACAUGUAGCUAUCAGUGAUAGAAUAUAGUACCUGUUAGCUAAAAAUGAAGAGUAAAUAGUUAAAUCACAAUAAGGAUAAAAAGUUAGGAAAAUUCAACAAUAAAAAGUUGAAGCUGGCUGCACAGUGCCAUAGUGGUUAGCACUUUCCCCUUGCAGCAAGAAGAUCCCCGGUUCAAAUCCCGGCCUGGGCCUGGGAUUUGGUGGUUUUGUGUUGUUUUUUAAAAACAACACAAAACCUCAUCCCGCUCAACAUAAAAACCGCAGAAUUACAUUUAAAACAUUUUCCGGAAAAAUGUCCCUUAUUACCCCGCUGUCCCUUAUAGCCCCGUUUUACGCUAAUGAAUAAACAGUUAGCUAAAAGCUAAGCAAAGGACGAAGCCUCAGUGUUCCUUAAAAAUGAUGACUUGUGAAUUGUUUCAGUGGAACAUUUGCACCAGAGUUGUAUUUAAAAUGGGUAAUUCACCAAAAAAUACUAGCAGGACUGUCUUACUGUGCGAUAUAAAUCCUGUGCAAAACUUAUGUUGGAAAGUUUGUUGCGAGGAGGUGGCUGUUAUUUGCUGUAGUGAAUGGACCUUUAAAAAUGUAAUAAAUACCUAGCAAAACAGGAGGAAAAAGCUACGUGAGGCUAAUUGCAGGCUGUUACCCCCAGUAGACAUAAAGUUAGUCAUGAUAAUAAUAAACUGCUGAAACAGACCGCUUAAAGUAAUGGGUAAAGAGUUACCUAAUAGCAAAUGGAUAGACAGCUGAAAAAAGUAAAAGUGCUGGAUUGAUAGUUGGAAUAUUGAGCUUCUACUACUAACAGUAAGCUGUGUUACAUAAGUAAUCUGCUGCUGAUAUUAACUAAUUACCUCACUGAUCUUGUAACUGUGUUCUUAUGUAUGCCUUUUUUGGAGAGAAAUUACCAGAACAACCAGCCUGUCAGUGGAUGCCUAAAAUAACCCUCCACGGAAAUGGAUGUCAUCUUCAUUCAGCACAUUUUGGAUGAACCUCCUCAGCUGUUUGGGGUCAGAAGGUCCUGUGGGAGUGUUUCCAUCGCUGUGAUCCGGCUGGAGGAUCAACGAAGUGAAACAGUGAAGCCGACACCGUGGGUUUACUGAACAACCCCGCUGGAGAUUUGCUGCUUUUUGUUUAUAGACUGCAGUAAAUUCAAAAUUUGAGGAUCCUUUUUUGCAACAUUUGUGACUUUUACAUUUUAAAGAGAACACUUAGAUCCUCAGUCACCAUUGAAUACUUUUGUUUCUCCUGGUAACCACGUUGCUGAUGAGGAAUCUAAGCUAAUUUGAGGUUUGCACGCCAUUGUUCCUCAGACACUUCAGCUUGAGUGAAUCCAAAUGUGUUUUGUGACAGACUUUGGUCCGGAGGGUAUAGACAGGAAACUGAAUCUGGAGGCCAAAGGAUCCCAUUGGGAAGCUUCACAUGCAGCCACUGACAGCACACAUCCCUUUAGAAGAUAAUGAAGGAGGAAUAUUUAGCCCAGAAACAAGUCGACUUGUUGGGCCAUGUGCACAAAUCUUUCAAAAAAUACAUAUUUAUCUGUUAGAAAUGAAAGCUAAAUGGACAAAAAUGCAAAAAGACUUCUACAAAGUGCCUUCUUUAGGGGUUUCCAUGGUCUUUUCUCAAUCUGUACUGCAACAACUCAUCUAUGUGUCUGAAGUUCGGCUGUGAGUCUUUGCCUGCAGAAACCUGCUAACUGCAGCCCACAUGGCCUCGGACGGUGGCCGAGCUGCAGGCUUACAGUCUGUAGAUGCUCCCACUGAUACGGCUGCUGCCUGUUUCAGAAAACAUCGUCUCCUCUGUGGAGUCCGUCCGACGUCAAAGCGAUGAUUUCACGUCCAGGCGUGUGGACCGAGAGCCUCCGCGGUGACGUCAAAGCGUCGUGCUAUCGUGUUUACUCUCUCCAUGAAAGAUCAACAGCAGCCUGCAGUAUUUAUUGACGUGCUGUAAUGCCGUGAGGAACCAUAACAUAACAAGUCAUUGAACAUUCUGCCGUGGCCUCCAGUUCAGCUCCCUGAUAUUUUUCCCAAAGCACAGAUGGAGCUGAAUUAGGUCAACAAAUAAGAAGUGAAAAAAACAAAUGCUACUAAUGCUGAAAUUCGUUUUAAAUGGGAGAAAAACAGCUGUUUUGUGGAUAUGAUGACAUGUUAUGACGUCAUUUUGGGCUUAUUUGUCGAUGCUUCUCGUCUCUGUGUCAUCAUACAUCAUUCUACAUCUUCCUCUGGUCAUUUGAAGCUUGUUUGGGGUCCUUUUAUUGUUGUCUGGGUUAUUUUGCAUCUCAUUUGGGGGCAUUUUCAGUUUCUUUGUGGUCUCAGUAAUCAUUUUAAAUCUGUCCAUGGUCUUUUUAGGGUCAUUUAGAGUUUAUUUCAGGUUAUUUCAUGUCUUCAUCGUUAUUCUGCGCCUUUCGGUCAAAAGUUUGUUUGUAGUUUUUGUGGUAUGUCAUGUUUUUUGAACAUUGUGCAGGUGAUGCUGACACCUUUGGUGCAGAAGAAAAGUAAACACUUAAAGAACAAUAAUAAUGAAAAAAGUAACACUGACAUUAAGAGCUCACCUAAAUCCAAGAAAAAAAGACUUAGUGGUUUUCUGACGAUAUAGUUUCAUAUUUGUUCAAUAAUUUCUUUUAAAAAAUAAACUUAAUAAGUGUGCUA
Molecule: long non-coding RNA, 3692 nt
Organism: Acanthochromis polyacanthus (spiny chromis)
Lineage: Eukaryota; Metazoa; Chordata; Actinopteri; Pomacentridae
Exons: 2
Source: RefSeq, a predicted model, not a curated record